UACGUAGGGUGCAAGCGUUAAUCGGAAUUACUGGGCGUAAAGCGUGCGCAGGCGGCUUUGCAAGACAGAUGUGAAAUCCCCGGGCUCAACCUGGGAACUGCAUUUGUGACUGCAUGGCUAGAGUGCGGCAGAGGGGGAUGGAAUUCCGCGUGUAGCAGUGAAAUGCGUAGAUAUGCGGAGGAACACCGAUGGCGAAGGCAGCCCCCUGGGCCAAUACUGACGCUCAGGCACGAAAGCGUGGGGAGCAAACAGG
RNAcentral lists this ribosomal RNA (253 nucleotides) under uncultured bacterium. RNAcentral's name for it is "partial 16S ribosomal RNA". It matches the Rfam family "Bacterial small subunit ribosomal RNA", at positions 524 to 776 of the family's 1533-position model. The record is from RNAcentral.